This is a long non-coding RNA of Carassius gibelio (silver crucian carp), 1394 nucleotides long. RefSeq lists it as uncharacterized. Lineage: Eukaryota; Metazoa; Chordata; Actinopteri; Cypriniformes; Cyprinidae. The transcript has 3 exons. The record is from RefSeq and is a predicted model, not a curated record.
UUUCCGGCACUGUUCGUUUUACACAUAUAUGUUUUGUUAAAACAACACAAAUAUAUUUAGUUUUCCGACAAAACACAAUUGUAUUGUGUUUAAUCAACUUAAAAUGUUUAAUUUUAAAUUUUACUUAAUUAUCAAUCGUUAAAGUAACGUAAAGGGUUUAAUUUCGUGAUUCAAAAAAAACCGGAAGUGACGAUUUCCAACGCAUUUGAUGACGGUGUGGAGGGGAGCAAGAGGUAUCAGUCAGGUUUGUGCAGAAUUUGAGACAUCCAGAAUUACCAUAGGCCCAUUAGAAUCAACAAUCUUUGCCAAACUUGAUUCGGACUGCAAAAUUUACGAAGAUGUUUUCAUACUGAAGAAGAGACCUUGGACAAAUACUGAAACCCUCUUGGUGCCCACUACACAGGCAGGGGUGUCCAGACCUGCUCUAGGAAAGCCAGUGUUCUGUGGGGUUCAGCUCUAACACACCUGCCUGGAACUUCAGGUAAGACUUUUUUGUUUUAAAAUUCCCAAGAACCUUGAUUAGCUGGUUCAGGUGUGUUUAAAUGGCUAGAUCACCCAAAAAUAAACAUGUCAUUAUUCACCCUCAUGUCGUUUCAAACCCGUAAGACCAUCAUUCAUCUUCAGAGCACAAAUUAUGAUAUUUUUUAAGGAUGCCCCGAUCAUGAUUUUUCAUGGCCGAUACCGAUUUCUUUUACAAGCAAACUGGACGAUUUUUUUUUUUUAUCUUUAAGCAACAAACAAGAAGGAAGGACAGUCCACAGUCUACAGUCCAAAAUUGAGGGAAAGCUCAAUAAAGCCCCUUUCACACUGCGAUUCCGGCAAAUACAGAUCCCGUAACGACACGUGACAUCAGGGCGUGACGUGUAAUGUACGAGUCGAAAACAUUAGGCAUGUAAUACUUUCACUGAAUCUGGCGAACGAUCUCGGUGUCACCGUGGAAAGUGAGGAACUAACUGAUCUCUGCUUCAUACAGUUUGCACUUUUUUUUUUUUCAGUGAACGUUGAUCUUCCUUCAAAACAGCCAGUAAAAGAGUCACACGAUAAUGUCAUCACUACGACACGGCAUUAGAUCUGGCUUUUGUUCACACAGCGCUUGUCCCGGGAUUGAACCCAGCAAUGUUACUACGUCCCCGACCCGAGUUCAAUGCUGGAAUCAAUCCCGGGACGUGUUUGCUUUCACACAGAAGUAAUGUAGUCGGAGCACGCGGGCGCACUUCCGGAAAAAUCGGCUGAAAAAAAUUCCAAAGACCGGCCGAUUACCAAUUGCGUAUUUAAAGCAAAAACCGUCUGGUUUCCAAUUUAUGGCCGGUCAAUUGGUGCAUCCCUAAUAUUUUUAUGAAAAUGCGAGAGAUUUCUGAACCUCCAUAAAGGCUGCAAUGCAACUGAAAUGUUCC